Molecule: ribosomal RNA, 497 nt
Filed under: uncultured bacterium
Lineage: Bacteria
Description: partial 16S ribosomal RNA
Rfam family: Bacterial small subunit ribosomal RNA
Source: RNAcentral
GAUGAACGCUGGCGGCGUGCCUAAUACAUGCAAGUCGAGCGAACAGACGAGGAGCUUGCUCCUCUGACGUUAGCGGCGGACGGGUGAGUAACACGUGGAUAACCUACCUAUAAGACUGGGAUAACUUCGGGAAACCGGAGCUAAUACCGGAUAAUAUGUUGAAUCGCAUGGUUCAACAGUGAAAGACGGUCUUGCUGUCACUUAUAGAUGGAUCCGCGCCGCAUUAGCUAGUUGGUAAGGUAACGGCUUACCAAGGCAACGAUGCGUAGCCGACCUGAGAGGGUGAUCGGCCACACUGGAACUGAGACACGGUCCAGACUCCUACGGGAGGCAGCAGUAGGGAAUCUUCCGCAAUGGGCGAAAGCCUGACGGAGCAACGCCGCGUGAGUGAAGAAGGUCUUCGGAUCGUAAAACUCUGUUAUUAGGGAAGAACAAAUGUGUAAGUAACUAUGCACGUCUUGACGAUACCUAAUCAGAAAGCCACGGCUAACUACGUG